This 1078-nucleotide long non-coding RNA is filed under the name Sus scrofa (pig). RNAcentral's name for it is "lncRNA (ENSSSCG00055030033.1)". Lineage: Eukaryota; Metazoa; Chordata; Mammalia; Artiodactyla; Suidae. The record is from RNAcentral.
GCCCUCGGGGCUGCAUGUUGGAGAGUGGCCGACAAGGGUGGAUCCCAUCACAGGGUCUGCCCCAGCUUGUGUGAGUACACAUAUGCACGUCCCCAAAGCUUUCGCGCAUUCCCGCGUGUGCUGACACUGGACAGGUUCUCGGCUCACAGCACAAGGUUCAACCUUCUUGCACUCCACCCUCAAGCAGCCUGUGUUUCAUCGGGGUAGACAGAUAAUGAACCGUAGGCAAACAGGAAGAGUCUUUGGGAGCGGCACAAGGACAACUCUUAUUUACCUGCAAUAAUGCAUGCCUGCACCAAUUCUCAGCCCCCACACUGAGCCACCAACCUGAGAGGCUUGAAGAGCCACAAAGAGGUCAUGUGAGGAUUUCUUUCUUCACUGCCUCUUCAUCUUCCAGGCUGGUGAGCACGACCUGAACCCCCUGUUCUCAUGAGUUUGUCCUUCCCCCCCCCCCCCCCCCCCCCCCGCCACUGCCCACUGCUGCCCUCCGGGUUAAGGUGUGCUGGGCACACACCCAGAGACCUUUGCACUGCAGUUGGGAAAGUUAUUUGUCGAGAAACUUUUUGCAUCUUUCUUUUCCUCUUGCUGCGGGCUUCUGCCUACAUAACUCUGCAAACUGCAAUGCUGGUUUCCUGUAAAAGCCAAGGGAUCGCCCGUAUGAGGCUGCCUGCAUUUUCUCUUCCAAGUCACCGUCCUCCAUGGUGCCUCAGGUUUUUGGUCCAGUAAAAUGGGCCUGAUCAUUCUGGCUGCUUUCCACACAUCUCUGUGGGAUGGAAUGGUGAGCACGUGACUGCCCUGACCCUGUCAUUCAUCCAAUACUUCCUUCGUCUUACACACGCUCUUAGGUGCCUCUUCCGUUCGGGGCGCUGAAGCUCCAAAGGUGAGUCGGAGGGUGUUGUGUCUUUGUGUAGUUUAAGUUGGGAGGGCCAGACACAGGGGAGCGUGGAAUUGCAGCCCUGUGCGAUAUCAUGAUGGUCCAUUAGGUAGAAGGUGGUGAGAAAACUUUCUCACUGGAGGUGAGAAAACUAGUCACUUAGAAGUCAGGCUGAACAGGGAUGGAGAAUAAGGCAUCAGAUAU